Molecule: long non-coding RNA, 1924 nt
Organism: Trichechus manatus latirostris (Florida manatee)
Lineage: Eukaryota; Metazoa; Chordata; Mammalia; Sirenia; Trichechidae
Exons: 3
Source: RefSeq, a predicted model, not a curated record
GUGGGCCUGAAAGGCAGAGCGGAAGCCCAGGACCAAGGGGCCUCCACUCAGAAUCCAGAGAGUGUGGCGAAUACUUAGAGCCUGGAGGGCAGGGCCAUUGCCUAAAUGGUCUCAGAGAACAGGAUUAUCAUCAAGCCUGGAGGGCUAAUGCAAUGUGUUCUAUUGACUUGCUUGGUGUCUGUUAUCCCUUUUUUCCCUCCAAUUUUUCCUGUUCAUAUUGGAAAUGCCUAGCUUGUGCCUGUUCCACCAUCAUACUUUGGAAGCAGAUAACUUGUAUUCUAGAUUUCACAGAUGAAGAGGAAUUUUUGGAUUUUGGACUUGGAGUUGAGAAAAUAACUCCAGCUACUAUCAGUGAAGUAAUUGAGUGUUUCUGUAAUGGCUCCCAUAAGGACUGAUAGACCAUACCAAUGAACUUGACUGUUUCAAAGGCAGUGUCUUCUAAGUUCUUGACUGUGCUGUAAUCACACAAGAUGAAGGCUUCUUGUGCCAAUAAGAAACUCACCUCUUAAAGAAUGGACAUUCAUCUUUGGGUGCAAGAUUCAUGCACUCCUGGACCUGAGAGUAGAAAGAUGAGUUCACAGGUGAGGGGCCUUGGAACAGAGAAAUAACUAGACCUCAUAGAGCUUCUGGAGAACUGACUCUCUGAGCUUCAGCUCCUGCGUCUGGAAAGGAGAGCUUGGACAAGAUGACAUCAUCAUUUCUUCCAGCCCUAGCAUACUAUAAUUUUAUAUUCUACUCAUCCAUGAGUAAUUAUUCUCUCUGAAUUAAUUGCCCAGAAAAAAUUAAUAGAGUUCUUAACAUACUAAAUACUCUUUUCUUUAAUAUCUUUCAGUAAAAAAUAGAAAAUUGAGACAUACACGACUGACUUUCAUAUACAUCUAUGCGUAAUUUGAAAACUUUGUUCUAAUCAAGCUUAACAUGUCACUCUGAGUUGAUGUUCAUAUAUUAAAUGGUUUUUAGCCCAGAUAAGAUAGAAGGUUCACGUUUUAAACUUUAACCAUUUCACUGAUGACUGGAAAGUGCCUGCUCUGUGUUGGGCUAAUUCGAUCUAAAAAUUUGAAGGUCAUAUUUCACUCAGAAGUCUCAGGUUAAAAAAAAAAAUCAGGUGGGAUAGUCAAAAAGACUAUUUUACCUCCUUUCCCAUGGGAAUCUUUCCAAGAUUAGUCUGACUAAGCUGAUGUAUUGACAAACUUGCAAUUCCUCUGUUUUCCAUGAUCCAAUGCCCAAAGUCAAGGGGGGAAUUUUAACAUGAGAAAGGGGCACACAACUAUCCAUAUUAGAAUUUCAGUCCCUAAAUUAAAGGCUGGAUCAGGAGAUUCAGAAAUUUCUCCUGAAUUAGCAGUUUCUCAAGGAGUGAAAUGUCUACAGCUCCUAAAAUUGAAAAUAAGAAUGAGAAUUGCCCCCUACACAGGAACUUGAGGCCUACUCUGCAGCAUCUGGUUAAAAAAGAAAAAAUCCUUGAAAUGUAGUUCUCUCUUGCUUCUGUCCCUCCUCUUGACCAUAUGAAGACAAAUGUUCCUCAAGAGCGACAUUUUGUCCUUUUUAGUGCAAGUAAGCUGAGUAGAGCAAUUUAAGGGAUAUCAGAAACCUGCAAAACCAAGACCACUGGUUUGCUUUUCGAGGUAUCCCCGAACUCCAAUAGAGCAUUGUUGUUUCAUUAUUUUCAAUGAACAGUUAGGACCAGGUAUACAUCAAGACACAGAGUACCCAGGUGGCACAAACGGUUAAGCACUCGACUACUAGCUGAAAGGUUGGUGGUUCAAACACACCCAGAUACUUCUCAGAAGACAGGCCUGGGGAUGUGCUUCCAUAAGGUCACAGCCUUGAAAACCCUAUGGAGCAGUUCUACUCUGCACACAUGGGGUAGCCAUGAGCUGGAAUUCUCUCUAGGGAAAUUAAUAGCAACAAUAAAUUAUAUAAAAGA